GAUGAAGAACGUAGCGAAAUGCGAUACGUAAUGUGAAUUGCAGAAUUCAGUGAAUCAUCGAAUCUUUGAACGCACAUUGCGCCUGCCAGCACUCUGGCAGGCAUGCCUGUUCGAGCGUCAUUUCAACCAUCAAGCCCUAGGCUUGCGUUGGAGCCCUGCGGCUGCCGCAGGCCCCUAAAAGCAGUGGCGGGCUCGCUAUCACACCGAGUGCAGUAGAUUACUCUUCGCUCAGGGCGUGUGGCGGGUUCCAGCCGUGAAACCCCCUACUUCUCAAGGUUGACCUCGGAUCAGGUAGGAAUACCCGCUGAACUUAAGCAUAUCAAUAAGCGGAGUA
RNAcentral lists this unclassified non-coding RNA (334 nucleotides) under soil metagenome. Its description in RNAcentral is "partial contains 5.8S ribosomal RNA, internal transcribed spacer 2, and large subunit ribosomal RNA". The stretch from base 1 to 120 matches the Rfam family "5.8S ribosomal RNA", at positions 35 to 154 of the family's 154-position model. The record is from RNAcentral.